GAAAUACAUGACAACAUAUAAGCAUCAUCCCUGUGCACCAAGGUUUGUCUGCACCUCCUCUAUAAUGCAAGAUCAUUAAGGAGUCCAAUAUCCACUCUACCUAUGCUGUCUACAUUUUUCCCAAGUUUGACUGGUUCUGGCUGUGCAUACUCACUCUACUGAAUGAACACAGACACUGAGGCCAGGAGUUCCAUGGAGCAAUGUGUAAUGUGGCGUGUCAUGCAGAGGGAUGGUACAGAGCCAGAGCCAGAGCCUGACCCAGAGGACACCGGUGUCCUGAGGGGAAAAAAUGGAGGUCUUCAGUGGAAUGGGGAGCAUUAUGCUCGCUUUGGUAGGAAGUGAUGUGAAGGUGCCGGUGAUGAUUUUGAGGGACACGGGGGCUUUUGAUUCUUUCAUUCAGGCUGGAGUUUUGCCCUUAUCCAAAGAAUCUGAAACAGGCAGCUCCGUUCCUGUUCGUGGAAUGGAUUAAAUGUUUUGUUUGUUCCAUUGCACAAAGUGAUUAAUUUUAAUGUGUUCCAUUGUGAGGUUAAGAUAGCUGUGCGCCCAGCGUUGUCGACCCAGGGAAUUUCUGUGAUCCUGGGUAAUGAUAUGGUGAGUGCUCGUGUGCGUGUCCCUGUGUCAAUAUUCCACAGUGAUCUGGUUGUAGAGCAGCAGGUUGACCCCUCCCUGAGGGAGCUGUUUCAGCAGGUUCGGCCUGAGAGUGAGGUUGUGGACAGUGCUUGUGGUUAAUUUCUACAGAUUUCGCUGUUGGUGACAAAGUGGGUGAAGCACAGUGGGAGUUUUGUCGGGGAUCCCGUUUUUCAAAUAGUUUUGCCAGCUGAACUCUGUCAGUCAGUGUUAAAAGUAGCUCAUGAGUUAGAGAGGCCAAUGAGGUAUGUAUUUUAUCGUGUUAAUUGCUUUGCCGUAUGUGAACGUGUGUUAUGUGACUGUGUGUUAAUGUAUAAUUAGUCAAUUAAGUGUAUUUUCUUAUGUGUUGAAUGUGCAUUUUAUUUAUUCAUUUUGUAUGUAUUUUUCGUUUAUUAUUAUGUGUAAAACACCACAUUUAGAGGGUUAAUUUAAGUUUUACUUAUUUCCUUUCAUAGUUCUGACGGCAUUGUUGGGACAUAAAAGGGCUGUAAGACUAACAUGUACAAGACAUUUUGAAGACUCGUGUCCGAAUAAAUGUCUGUUAAAAAUCAAG
Molecule: long non-coding RNA, 1180 nt
Organism: Siniperca chuatsi (mandarin fish)
Lineage: Eukaryota; Metazoa; Chordata; Actinopteri; Centrarchiformes; Sinipercidae
Exons: 3
Source: RefSeq, a predicted model, not a curated record